AAAAAGAUAAACCUUGAGUUUUCGUGUUUAAUUUUAACUGUUCGUCUUAUAUAAUUUUUUUUAUAAUUCGUAUUUUUAUUAUUGUUAGAUGAUAAAACAUGAUUAAUAUUUUAUGCGUGACUUGUUUUUUUAAUUUUUUUAUAAUUUUUUUAAAUAAGACGGAUGGUCAAAUGUUAUAUACGAAAAUCAGGGUUUAUCUUUUU
Molecule: microRNA precursor, 203 nt
Organism: Oryza rufipogon (brownbeard rice)
Lineage: Eukaryota; Viridiplantae; Streptophyta; Magnoliopsida; Poales; Poaceae
Rfam family: MIR812 microRNA precursor family
Source: Rfam